UCCUGACUGACCGAUAGUGAACCAGUACCGUGAGGGAAAGGCGAAAAGAACCCCGGCGAGGGGAGUGAAAAAGAACCUGAAACCGUGUACGUACAAGCAGUGGGAGCACGCUUAGGCGUGUGACUGCGUACCUUUUGUAUAAUGGGUCAGCGACUUAUAUUCUGUAGCAAGGUUAACCGAAUAGGGGAGCCGAAGGGAAACCGAGUCUUAACUGGGCGUUAAGUUGCAGGGUAUAGACCCGAAACCCGGUGAUCUAGCCAUGGGCAGGUUGAAGGUUGGGUAACACUAACUGGAGGACCGAACCGACUAAUGUUGAAAAAUUAGCGGAUGACUUGUGGCUGGGGGUGAAAGGCCAAUCAAACCGGGAGAUAGCUGGUUCUCCCCGAAAGCUAUUUAGGUAGCGCCUCGUGAAUUCAUCUCCGGGGGUAGAGCACUGUUUCGGCAAGGGGGUCAUCCCGACUUACCAACCCGAUGCAAAC
This 479-nucleotide ribosomal RNA is filed under the name Shigella sonnei. RNAcentral's name for it is "partial 23S ribosomal RNA". It matches the Rfam family "Bacterial large subunit ribosomal RNA", at positions 474 to 954 of the family's 2925-position model. The record is from RNAcentral. Lineage: Bacteria; Pseudomonadati; Pseudomonadota; Gammaproteobacteria; Enterobacterales; Enterobacteriaceae.